RNAcentral lists this ribosomal RNA (1293 nucleotides) under uncultured bacterium. Its description in RNAcentral is "partial 16S ribosomal RNA". It matches the Rfam family "Bacterial small subunit ribosomal RNA", at positions 93 to 1426 of the family's 1533-position model. The record is from RNAcentral.
UAGUGGCGCACGGGUGAGUAACACGUGGGAACCUGCCUUUAGGUACGGAAUAACGUCUGGAAACGGACGCUAAUACCGUAUACUUCCUCCGGGAAAAAGGUCCGCCGCCUAAAGAGGGGCCCGCGUCAGAUUAGCUUGUUGGUGGGGUAAUGGCCUACCAAGACUUUGAUCAAUAGCUGAUCUGAGAGGAUGAUCAGCCACAUUGGGACUGAGACACGGCCCAAACUCCUACGGGAGGCAGCAGUAGGGAAUAUUGCACAAUGGAGGAAACUCUGAUGCAGCGAUGCCGCGUGAGUGAAGAAGGCCUUUGGGUUGUAAAGCUCUUUCGUCGGGGAAGAAAAUGACUGUACCCGAAUAAGAAGGUCCGGCUAACUUCGUGCCAGCAGCCGCGGUAAUACGAAGGGACCUAGCGUAGUUCGGAAUUACUGGGCUUAAAGAGCUCGUAGGUGGUUAAAAAAGUUGAUGGUGAAAUCCCAAGGCUUAACCUUGGAACUGCCAUCAAAACUUUUUAGCUAGAGUGUGAUAGAGGUAAGUGGAAUUUCUAGUGUAGAGGUGAAAUUCGUAGAUAUUAGAAAGAACACCAAAUGCGAAGGCAACUUACUGGGUCACUACUGACACUGAGGAGCGAAAGCAUGGGUAGCGAAGAGGAUUAGAUACCCUCGUAGUCCAUGCCGUAAACGAUGUGUGCUAGACGUUGGAAAUAUAUUUUUCAGUGUCGCAGCGAAAGCAUUAAGCACACCGCCUGGGGAGUACGACCGCAAGGUUAAAACUCAAAUGAAUUGACGGGGACCCGCACAAGCAGUGGAGCAUGUGGUUUAAUUCGAUGCAACGCGAAAAACCUUACCUACUCUUGACAUACUUGGAAGCUCUUGUAAUGAGAGUGUGCCUUUUGGAGCCAAGAUACAGGUGCUGCAUGGCUGUCGUCAGCUCGUGUCGUGAGAUGUUGGGUUAAGUCCCGCAACGAGCGCAACCCUCACUUUUAGUUGCCAUCAUUAAGUUGGGCACUCUGAAAGAACUGCCAGUGAUAAGCUGGAGGAAGGUGGGGAUGACGUCAAGUCCUCAUGGCCCUUACGUGUUGGGCUACACACGUGCUACAAUGGGGAAUACAGACGGACGCUAAAGCGUGAGCUGGUGCUAAUCCUAAAAAAUUUCUCGUAGUCCGGAUUGCAGUCUGCAACUCGACUGCAUGAAGUCGGAAUCGCUAGUAAUCGCGAAUCAGCAUGUCGCGGUGAAUACGUUCUCGGGUCUUGUACACACCGCCCGUCACACCAUGGAAGUGUGUUGCACCAGAAG